RNAcentral lists this ribosomal RNA (444 nucleotides) under uncultured prokaryote. RNAcentral describes it as "bacterial SSU rRNA". It matches the Rfam family "Bacterial small subunit ribosomal RNA", at positions 338 to 774 of the family's 1533-position model. The record is from RNAcentral.
CCUACGGGGUGCUGCAGUCGAGAAUAAUUCGCAAUGGACGAAAGUCUGACGAUGCGACGCCGCGUGAACGAUGAAGGCCUUCGGGUUGUAACGUUCUGUUGCCUUGGAACAAGAGUGAUUGUCGAAUAGAUAGUCACGAUGAGGGUACAAGGAGAGGAAGCACCGGCUAAUUCCGUGCCAGCAGCUGCGGUAAUACGGAAGGUGCAAGCGUUAGUCGGAAUUACUGGGCGUAAAGGGUGCGUAGGUGGUUACAUAAGUCGGGCGGGAAAUUCCGGGGCUUAACCUCGGAGCGGCAGUCGAUACUGUGUGACUAGAGGAAUGGCGGAGAAAAUGGAAUUCCAUAUGGAGCGGUGAAAUGCGUAGAUAUAUGGAAGAACACCUGUGGCGAAAGCGGUUUUCUAGCCUACUCCUGACGCUGAGGCACGAAAGCAAGGGGAGCAAACA